This is a long non-coding RNA of Cavia porcellus (domestic guinea pig), 1384 nucleotides long. RefSeq lists it as uncharacterized. The transcript is spliced from 5 exons. NCBI's taxonomy places the organism in Eukaryota, Metazoa, Chordata, Mammalia, Rodentia, Caviidae. The record is from RefSeq and is a predicted model, not a curated record.
CUUCCUGCUUCCUUCCUGUCCUUUUACCUUUUUCGAGGCUUCGCCCCUAGAGCCAUGGGACUCUGGUGUGGACCGGUUUUCUGUGAGAUUUUGAUCCUUCUCACAAGAUCCUAUCUAAGCCUGUGUCUGGAACAGCCUGUCAUCGACCUCGCCCUCUAUCGCUCAGCGACCUAAAUGGAGGCCCCAGGACUGAAUGCGUAGGUGACCUGUGUGGCGCGGGCCGGGCGGGGCCUUUUCGUCCUUGAAAAACCUGGUAUACUUUUUGACUGCUGUUUGGAAGAAUAGCCCUGUUCUCGCCCUGUCAUCUUACAAAUAUAGAAAAAGACCUAAAAGAGAAGUUGGCAGCUGCACCCUCAGUCGUUACUGAGUGGUUACUAGUACCAGGCUCUUUGAUAAUCGCUUGUUAGGGGUUAUCCCAUUUUACAGGUAAAGACUCAAACUAUCAGUAAUUUGCUAUUGUCAAACGUCAGAUGAACAGUUCAUAUUUGACCAAGAUCACAUAAUAGAUGGGGAAUUGGAACCUUCCAUGACUGGCUUCAAAUUAAUGUAGUCUUUGUAGUUACUUACAUAAUAAUGAUCAAAGCAAUUUUGCUAUGUAGAGUGGGUAAACUCACUGAGGGAGGAAAGCAACACAUGAAAAAUGUGAGGCAAUAUGGCAGGAAAGAUCAGCAAAGAAAACAAGUAAAAAAACAGUAAAAAUGUAGAAGAAAAGAGAAUCAUACCAUCACACAAAGCAAAAGAAGAUAUUUUCAAAGAAUAGGGGAGUAAGAAGGAUCAAAAGACUUAAGAAAAACAUUGAUUCGGGCAGAGUCAUUGAUAUAUUCAGGAGAGCAAUUUUAAUAAAAUGAUCAAGAUGCAAAAACCAGAUUGCACAGGAUUUCAAGCCGAAUUCCAGGGAGAUUGCUUUGUAUUUUCCAGAUCAAAAUUGGAAGCUUUAAAAACAAAAAUUACAUUAAGUGCAGGACACAGCAAAGGUUCCUGCAACUCGUUUUUUACAAUGUUCAACAUAAUGUUCAAAGGAUUUUCAACUGGUGUCUUGCUGGGAGAUGGUGUACAAUCAAAUGAAGAUGUCUACAAAAUGAAAAUGCCUAUGAGUACUGAUGAAAAGUUCUAAGUUACCACAUGAAAGGACAUACGGUUUUCUAUGACCCUUGUCUGAGCAAAGACAUACAACAAAUUAACACACAUGCUUUCUUACAAGACAUGCCACAAAGGCAGUCAAUUAAUAAAAAAUGCAACAUUCAGUACAUUUCAGCAAGUAGCCAUGACACUUAAGAGCUGAGUUACAAGUAUAUACACCAAAAGAAAUUGAUUAGAAAAGCUUUUAUAUGUAAACCCUGCAGAAAUGGCAACCCUUAGAAAUAUUCUGAGUUUUCUGUCAUAA